Canis lupus familiaris (dog) is the source of this 1286-nucleotide long non-coding RNA. RefSeq lists it as uncharacterized. Lineage: Eukaryota; Metazoa; Chordata; Mammalia; Carnivora; Canidae. The record is from RefSeq and is a predicted model, not a curated record. The transcript is spliced from 7 exons.
UAUCCACACAUAAAGCUCCACGGGGGCCAGGACUGGUGUUAGGCACCUAGUACCCAGUCAAUAAACAUUUGUUAAAUGAAUGAACAGAUGGAUGACCAACCUCCUUGGACCAUCUGGGCCAUGUUCCCAAAGACUUCCUCUUGACGGCCAAGUUCUGGCUCCGUACCACUGAGAGGCCUGCAGGGUUACCAAGAUGGGAGAAUUGAACACUGUGCCAAGCGCCAUCAGACAUUUGUAAAGCCCUCAGCCAAAAAUGUUAUUGGAAACAGGAUGUGUGUCUGUGCAGUAUGUGUUCAGGCCUAGAAGUAGAAGUCCAUGAGCUCGUCGAGGGCCUCCGGAGAUAUUUGGAACCUGAAACUGCAAACGCACUGAUUCCAGAGUCCUGAAAGGCAGCUGAAAAUUCCAAAUAGAUGUCUGCUGAAGUAUCUACCAUACGCUAAUGAGGAAACCGACCUGGGCAGUCUGGCUCCAGAAUGCAUUCUCCUAAUGGCAUGCAGCCCUGUCCCUCUUAACUCCCACAAUGCCUUUCACGGAGCUCAGCACAGGCAUAAGGAUAGCCUGUGACUCCAGGAACGGACAUCCUCCCAUUCUGGGUGCAAAUCUCCUUUCUGGGAUGCUUUCCAUCAUGCAGCAGAAAGAAACUUGCUUCUUGUCAGAAUACCACUUCCUUCAAUCCUUCCACUUCACCAAAUCCCACCCAAUGAUCAGGCACCAAGGAUGGGAUAAAGUGGAUCAGAGGCGUGAGUUGGCCUGGGCAAGACCUGAAGAAGUGGGGGCGUGGGGGAACGGGUCGCAGAACUCAGAGCAGACUGUGAAACAGUCCAAGCCACCCCCAGCAGGACAAUGAGAAGACAGAUAUCAUCUGUAGACAAUGCUUAUAGUAAUAUGCAAGAGGAGAGAGAUAAAUUAAAGAAAUGACCAUCAAACAAAAAGGAGACAGACCUUGAUAGUUUUGGAAGUUGCCCAUAUCUCCAGAUGUUUCCAUCUUGCUCUCUUCUCGUCCACUCUUGGAAGUUAAGCUACUCUGUGGUGAGGGUCCUGAAGCAAUCCUGUGGAAAAGUACUGAUGGCAAGGAACUGAAGUCUUCUGCCAAUACCCAUAACCAAUGUGCCAGUGACACAAAUGACCCAUUUUGAAACUAAAUCCUCCCACGCUGGUCAAGCCUUUAGAGGACUACCAACCUCAGCUGACAUCAUGACUGCAACCUCAUGAGAGACACCAAUCCAGGAACCACUCAGCUAAACUCCUAAAUUUCCAACCUAUGGAAGCUGUGAGAGAAUAAACAU